AAAAUCCGUCGACUUUAAAAAUCUGAGGGUUCAAGUCCCUCUAUCCCC
Molecule: transfer RNA, 48 nt
Filed under: Kohleria tubiflora
Lineage: Eukaryota; Viridiplantae; Streptophyta; Magnoliopsida; Lamiales; Gesneriaceae
Description: partial tRNA-Leu
Source: RNAcentral